This 507-nucleotide ribosomal RNA is filed under the name uncultured bacterium. RNAcentral's name for it is "partial 16S ribosomal RNA". It matches the Rfam family "Bacterial small subunit ribosomal RNA", at positions 28 to 507 of the family's 1533-position model. The record is from RNAcentral.
GACGAACGCUGGCGGCGUGCCUAAUACAUGCAAGUCGAACGCAUUUUCUUUCACCGUAGCUUGCUACACCGAAAGAAAAUGAGUGGCGAACGGGUGAGUAACACGUUGGUAACCUGCCCAUCAGCGGGGGAUAACACUUGGAAACAGGUGCUAAUACCGCAUAAUUCCAUUUACUGCAUGGUAGAUGGAUGAAAGGCGCUUUUGCGUCACUGAUGGAUGUACCCGCGGUGCAUUAGCUAGUUGGUGGUGUAACGGCCUACCAAGGCUGCGAUGCAUAGCCGACCUGAGAGGGGGAUCGGCCACAAUGGGAAUGGGACAAGGCCCAGACUUCUAAGGGAGGCAGCAGUAGGGGAUCUUCGGCAAUGGACGCAAGUCUGACCGAGCAACGCCGCGUGAGUGAAGAAGGUUUUCGGAUCGUAAAACUCUGUUGUUAGAAAAGAACAAGGAUGAGAGUGGAAAGUUCAUCCCUUGACGGUAUCUAACCAGAAAGCCACGGCUAACUACGUG